Olea europaea var. sylvestris is the source of this 594-nucleotide long non-coding RNA. RefSeq lists it as uncharacterized. NCBI's taxonomy places the organism in Eukaryota, Viridiplantae, Streptophyta, Magnoliopsida, Lamiales, Oleaceae. The record is from RefSeq and is a predicted model, not a curated record. The transcript is spliced from 2 exons.
GCCUAUGUAAAUUGUUCACCUGACUGUUACGCCACGGGAGUUCUUAUUUCACGCCGACCUCAUUUACUUUCCAUAUAGACCUCAACAAAAAAACUAGGGAUUACGAAUCAGGCAAAGUUUACGUUCCUCCGGAAUUUUAACGAAUGGAUGUCGAAGCCAAAGGGUUUAACCCGGGAUUGAUCGUCUUACUUCUAGUUGGCGGCCCGCUCUUGUUAUUCCUUGUUGGAAAUUAUGUACUCUACCUGUAUGCCCAGAAAACCGUUCCUCUGAAGAAGAAGAAGCCAAUCUCCAAGAAGAAAAUGAAGAAGGAAAGGCUGAAGCAAGGCGUUUCAGCACCAGGAGAAUAGAUUUUUGUUAGAAAGGGAUAGAAUGGGUUGUUUCCUUUCCAUGUUGAGCUGCAGUGUUGACAUUUCCGAUGUUGGAAACUUCGUAGAGAUUGUUACAAUGUUUUAGGACUCAUUCUCCCAUUAUGUUUCAUACAACUUAACUCGAUAAUUUAGAAAUCCUGUUGUUUUGCUAGCAGAUCGGAUGAAUGAAUGCUGUUUGUUUUGUUAUGUUAUCUGAUAUUGUGUCAAAGCUAUGUUGUUUGACUAG